GCUUGAGGCAGCAAUGAUGGAGGCAAAGCGCGGGACGACGCCCAGCCUGGGUCCGUGUAGGUGCCGCGCUCCACGCCUUUGCGCCAAGAAUCACGCCAACUCCGACGUCUACUGCAGCCAGCGGAGGUACGUCCUCAGGGUGUUUGAUGAAAUGGCCGUUCGAAAUGCCGUGAGUUCAAAAUCCUUGCCUGUCUCCGUCUCCUCCUCCAUUUACUUGAAUAGGUGGCCAACCAGC
This 235-nucleotide long non-coding RNA is filed under the name Sorghum bicolor (sorghum). Its description in RNAcentral is "long non-coding RNA (SBIC_LNC001324)". Lineage: Eukaryota; Viridiplantae; Streptophyta; Magnoliopsida; Poales; Poaceae. The record is from RNAcentral.